UUGAUCCUGGCUCAGGAUGAACGCGAGCGGCAGGCCUAACACAUGCAAGUCGAGGGGUAAGGUUCAGCUUGCUGAACACACGACCGGCGCACGGGUGAGUAUCGCGUUUGCAACUUACCUCUAACUGGGACAUAGCCCGAAGAAAUUCGGAUUAAUAUCCCAUAAUAUAUUGAAGAGGCAUCUCUUUAAUAUCAAAGCUCAGGCGGUUAGAGAUGGGCAUGCGUGUCAUUAGCUUGUUGGUGAGGUAACGGCUCACCAAGGCUACGAUGACUAGGGGGUCUGAGAGGAUGAUCCCCCACACUGGUACUGAGACACGGACCAGACUCCUACGGGAGGCAGCAGUGAGGAAUAUUGGGCAAUGGACGCAAGUCUGACCCAGCCAUGCCGCGUGCAGGAUGACGGCCCUAUGGGUUGUAAACUGCUUUUAUUAGGGAAGAAUGGUUCCUACGUGUAGGGAUUUGACGGUACCUAAAGAAUAAGCAUCGGCUAACUCCGUGCCAGCAGCCGCGGUAAUACGGAGGAUGCAAGCGUUAUCCGGAUUCAUUGGGUUUAAAGGGUGCGUAGGCGGAAUAUUAAGUCAGUGGUGAAAUCCUGCAGCUUAACUGUAGAACUGCCAUUGAUACUGGUAUUCUUGAAUAUAGUUGAGGUGGGCGGAAUGUGUAAUGUAGCGGUGAAAUGCUUAGAUAUUACACAGAACACCGAUUGCGAAGGCAGCUCACUAAACUAAUAUUGACGCUGAGGCACGAAAGCGUGGGGAGCGAACAGGAUUAGAUACCCUGGUAGUCCACGCUGUAAACUAUGAUCACUCGCUGUUGGCAAUACAUCGUCAGCGGCUGAGCGAAAGCAUUAAGUGAUCCACCUGGGGAGUACGGUCGCAAGAUUUGAAACUCCAAGGAAUUGACGGGGGCCCGGACAAUCGGAGGAACCUGUGGUUUAAUUCGAUGAUACGCGAGGAACCUUACCUGGGCUU
This 970-nucleotide ribosomal RNA is filed under the name uncultured organism. RNAcentral's name for it is "bacterial SSU rRNA". It matches the Rfam family "Bacterial small subunit ribosomal RNA", at positions 13 to 982 of the family's 1533-position model. The record is from RNAcentral.